Molecule: ribosomal RNA, 474 nt
Filed under: uncultured bacterium
Lineage: Bacteria
Description: partial 16S ribosomal RNA
Rfam family: Bacterial small subunit ribosomal RNA
Source: RNAcentral
GACGAACGCUGGCGGCGUGCCUAAUACAUGCAAGUAGAACGCUGAAGGCGGGCCUUGCUCGGCUGGAUGAGUUGCGAACGGGUGAGUAACGCGUAGGUAACCUGCCCGGUACCGGGGGAUAACUACUGGAAACUAUAGCUAAUACCGCAUAACAGCAGAUGCUGCAUGACAUUUGCUGGAAAGGUGCAAUUGCAUCGGUUGGAGAUGGACCUGCGGCGUAUUAGCUUGUUGGAGGGGUAGUGGCUUACCAAGGCGUUGAUGGGUAGCCGGCCUGAGAGGGUGACCGGCCACAGUGGGACUGAGAUACGGACCAGACUCCUACGGGAGGCAGCAGUGGGGAAUAUUGCACAAUGGGCGGAAGCCUGAUGCAGCAACGCCGCGUGCGGGAUGACGGCCUUCGGGUUGUAAACCGCUUUCGCCUGUGACGAAGCGUGAGUGACGGUAAUGGGUAAAGAAGCACCGGCUAACUACGUG